Molecule: ribosomal RNA, 1433 nt
Filed under: uncultured organism
Description: SSU rRNA
Rfam family: Bacterial small subunit ribosomal RNA
Source: RNAcentral
AGGACGAACGCUGGCGGCGUGCUUAACACAUGCAAGUCGAACGGAAAGGCCCUGCUUUUGUGGGGUGCUCGAGUGGCGAACGGGUGAGUAACACGUGAGUAACCUGCCCUUGACUUUGGGAUAACUUCAGGAAACUGGGGCUAAUACCGGAUAGGAGCUCCUGCUGCAUGGUGGGGGUUGGAAAGUUUCGGCGGUUGGGGAUGGACUCGCGGCUUAUCAGCUUGUUGGUGGGGUAGUGGCUUACCAAGGCUUUGACGGGUAGCCGGCCUGAGAGGGUGACCGGCCACAUUGGGACUGAGAUACGGCCCAGACUCCUACGGGAGGCAGCAGUGGGGAAUAUUGCACAAUGGGCGGAAGCCUGAUGCAGCAACGCCGCGUGCGGGAUGACGGCCUUCGGGUUGUAAACCGCUUUCGCCUGUGACGAAGCGUGAGUGACGGUAAUGGGUAAAGAAGCACCGGCUAACUACGUGCCAGCAGCCGCGGUGAUACGUAGGGUGCGAGCGUUGUCCGGAUUUAUUGGGCGUAAAGGGCUCGUAGGUGGUUGAUCGCGUCGGAAGUGUAAUCUUGGGGCUUAACCCUGAGCGUGCUUUCGAUACGGGUUGACUUGAGGAAGGUAGGGGAGAAUGGAAUUCCUGGUGGAGCGGUGGAAUGCGCAGAUAUCAGGAGGAACACCAGUGGCGAAGGCGGUUCUCUGGGCCUUUCCUGACGCUGAGGAGCGAAAGCGUGGGGAGGGAACAGGCUUAGAUACCCUGGUAGUCCACGCUGUAAACGGUGGGUACUAGGUGUGGGGUCCAUUCCACGGGUUCCGUGCCGUAGCUAACGCUUUAAGUACCCCGCCUGGGGAGUACGGCCGCAAGGCUAAAACUCAAAGGAAUUGACGGGGCCCCGCACAAGCGGCGGAGCAUGCGGAUUAAUUCGAUGCAACGCGUAGAACCUUACCUGGGUUUGACAUGGAUCGGGAGUGCUCAGAGACGGGUGUGCCUCUUUUGGGGUCGGUUCACAGGUGGUGCAUGGCUGUCGUCAGCUCGUGUCGUGAGAUGUUGGGUUAAGUCCCGCAACGAGCGCAACCCUUGUUCACUGUUGCCAGCACGUUAUGGUGGGGACUCAGUGGAGACCGCCGGGGUCAACUCGGAGGAAGGUGGGGAUGACGUCAAGUCAUCAUGCCCCUUAUGUCCAGGGCUUCACGCAUGCUACAAUGGCUGGUACAGAGAGUGGCGAGCCUGUGAGGGUGAGCGAAUCUCGGAAAGCCGGUCUCAGUUCGGAUUGGGGUUUGCAACUCGACCUCAUGAAGUCGGAGUCGCUAGUAAUCGCAGAUCAGCAACGCUGCGGUGAAUACGUUCCCGGGGCUUGUACACACCGCCCGUCAAGUCAUGAAAGUUGGUAACACCCGAAGCCGGUGGCGUAACCGUUGUGGGGGAGCCGUCGAAGGUGGG